Molecule: ribosomal RNA, 434 nt
Filed under: uncultured bacterium
Lineage: Bacteria
Description: partial 16S ribosomal RNA
Rfam family: Bacterial small subunit ribosomal RNA
Source: RNAcentral
AGCGAACGCUGGCGGCAGGCCUAACACAUGCAAGUCGAACGAACCUUUCGGGGUUAGUGGCGGACGGGUGAGUAACACGUGGGAACGUGCCUUUAGGUUCGGAAUAACUCAGGGAAACUUGUGCUAAUACCGAAUGUGCCCUUCGGGGGAAAGAUUUAUCGCCUUUAGAGCGGCCCGCGUCUGAUUAGCUAGUUGGUUGAGGUAAUGGCUCACCAAGGCGACGAUCAGUAGCUGGUCUGAGAGGAUGAUCAGCCACAUUGGGACUGAGACACGGCCCAAACUCCUACGGGAGGCAGCAGUGGGGAAUCUUGCGCAAUGGGCGAAAGUCUGACGCAGCCAUGCCGCGUGAAUGAUGAAGGUAUUAGGAUUGUCAAAUUCUUUCACCGGGGAAGAUAAUGACGGUACCCGGAGAAGAAGCCCCGGCUAACUUCGUG